GUGCUCAUUUCAGCAGCACACCUACUAAAAUUGGUUCAAUGCAGAGAAGAUUAGCAUGAGGCCCUGCACAAAGAUGACAUGCAAAUUCAUGAAGCAUUCCUUAUUUUU
This is a small nuclear RNA of Sorex araneus (European shrew), 108 nucleotides long. NCBI's taxonomy places the organism in Eukaryota, Metazoa, Chordata, Mammalia, Eulipotyphla, Soricidae. The record is from RefSeq and is a predicted model, not a curated record.